Molecule: transfer RNA, 69 nt
Filed under: Ectomocoris horridus
Lineage: Eukaryota; Metazoa; Arthropoda; Insecta; Hemiptera; Reduviidae
Description: tRNA-Met
Rfam family: tRNA
About the family: Transfer RNA (tRNA) molecules are approximately 80 nucleotides in length. Their secondary structure includes four short double-helical elements and three loops (D, anti-codon, and T loops).
Source: RNAcentral
AAAAAGAUAAGCUAAAAAAGCUACCAGGCUCAUACCCUGGACAUAGAGGUUAUAUUCCUCUUCUUUUUA